This 662-nucleotide ribosomal RNA is filed under the name uncultured actinomycete. RNAcentral's name for it is "bacterial SSU rRNA". It matches the Rfam family "Bacterial small subunit ribosomal RNA", at positions 232 to 884 of the family's 1533-position model. Lineage: Bacteria; Bacillati; Actinomycetota; Actinomycetes; Actinomycetales. The record is from RNAcentral.
CGCGGCCUAUCAGCUUGUUGGUGGGGUAACGGCCCACCAAGGCAACGACGCGUAGCGGGUCUGAGAGGACGACCCGUCACAUUGGGACUGAGAUACGGCCCAGACUCCUACGGGAGGCAGCAGUGGGGAAUAUUGCGCAAUGGACGAAAGUCUGACGCAGCGACGCCGCGUGUGGGAGGAAGCCCUUCGGGGUGUAAACCACUGUCAGAAGGGAAGGACGUCGGCUGUUCGAAUAGGACAGCUGAGUGACGGUACCUCCAAAGGAAGCGCCGGCUAACUCCGUGCCAGCAGCCGCGGUAAGACGGAGGGCGCAAGCGUUGUUCGGAAUUACUGGGCGUAAAGCGCGGGCAGGCGGCCUGUUAAGUCUACUGUGAAAACCCGGAGCUCAACUCCGGGAAUGCAGUGGAUACUGGCGGGCUAGAGAAUGGUAGAGGCUAGCGGAAUUCCUGGUGUAGCGGUGGAAUGCGUAGAUAUCAGGAAGAACACCUGUGGCGAAGGCGGCUAGCUGGGCCAUUUCUGACGCUCAUCCGCGAAAGCGUGGGGAGCAAACAGGGUUAGAUACCCUGGUAGUCCACGCCGUAAACGAUGGGCACUAGAUGCCGGGUCUAUAGACGGGCUCGGUGUCGAAGCUAACGCAUUAAGUGCCCCGCCUGGGGAGUACG